RNAcentral lists this transfer RNA (97 nucleotides) under Oscillospiraceae bacterium. RNAcentral's name for it is "tRNA-Sec". It matches the Rfam family "Selenocysteine transfer RNA". Lineage: Bacteria; Bacillati; Bacillota; Clostridia; Eubacteriales; Oscillospiraceae. The record is from RNAcentral.
GGGGUGGAACUGGUCUGGUGGCCGGCACGGACUUCAAACCCGCUUGUGAGGCAGUUUACUCUGUUUCUGGUGCGUUCGAUUCGCACACGCCCCGCCA